RNAcentral lists this ribosomal RNA (463 nucleotides) under uncultured Chloroflexota bacterium. RNAcentral's name for it is "bacterial SSU rRNA". It matches the Rfam family "Bacterial small subunit ribosomal RNA", at positions 355 to 833 of the family's 1533-position model. The record is from RNAcentral. Lineage: Bacteria; Bacillati; Chloroflexota.
UAGGGAAUCUUGCACAAUGGGCGCAAGCCUGAUGCAGCAACGCCGCGUGCGCGAUGAAGGCCUUCGGGUCGUAAAGCGCUUUUCUGGAGGACGAGAAGGGACGGUACUCCAGGAAGAAGGCUCGGCUAACUACGUGCCAGCAGCCGCGGUAAAACGUAGGAGCCUAGCGUUAUCCGAAUUUACUGGGCGUAAAGCGCGUGCAGGCGGCUUUGUAAGUUGGCUGUGAAAUCUCCCGGCUCAACUGGGAGGGGACGGUCAAGACUGCGAGGCUGGAGGCAGGGAGGAGGGAGGUGGAAUUCCCGGUGUAGUGGUGAAAUGCGUAGAGAUCGGGAGGAACACCAGUGGCGAAAGCGGCCUCCUGGACCUGACCUGACGCUGAGAUGCGAAAGCUAGGGGAGCGAACGGGAUUAGAAACCCCGGUAGUCCUAGCCGUAAACGAUGUCGACUGGGCGGCGGGUGGGGU